GACAGAGGCCUCGAGCGUUAGGCGGAAUCACUGGGCUUAAAGCGUGUGUAGGCGGAUCGUUAAGUACCUUGUGAAAUCCCACGGCUCAACCGUGGAACGGCUGGGUAUACUGGCGGUCUUGGGCCAUUCAGGGGCGACUGGAACAAGCGGUGGAGCGGUGAAAUGCGUAGAUAUCGCUUGGAACGCCGAAGGUGAAAACAGGUCGCUGGGGAUGUGCCGACGCUGAGGCGCGAAAGCUAGGGGAGCAAACGGG
RNAcentral lists this ribosomal RNA (253 nucleotides) under uncultured bacterium. RNAcentral describes it as "partial 16S ribosomal RNA". It matches the Rfam family "Bacterial small subunit ribosomal RNA", at positions 524 to 776 of the family's 1533-position model. The record is from RNAcentral.